RNAcentral lists this ribosomal RNA (704 nucleotides) under uncultured bacterium. Its description in RNAcentral is "bacterial SSU rRNA". It matches the Rfam family "Bacterial small subunit ribosomal RNA", at positions 191 to 882 of the family's 1533-position model. The record is from RNAcentral.
GGAAGAAGAUUGAAAGACGGCUCUGCUGUCACUUAUAGAUGACCUUGCGGUGCAUUAGUUAGUUGGUGGGGUAACGGCCUACCAAGACGAUGAUGCAUAGCCGACCUGAGAGGGUGAUCGGCCACAUUGGGACUGAGACACGGCCCAAACUCCUACGGGAGGCAGCAGUAGGGAAUCUUCCGCAAUGGGCGAAAGCCUGACGGAGCAAUGCCGCGUGAGUGAAGAAGGCCUUCGGGUCGUAAAACUCUGUUAUAAGAGAAGAACAAAUUGUAGAGUAACUGCUACAGUCUUGACGGUAUCUUAUCAGAAAGCCACGGCUAACUACGUGCCAGCAGCCGCGGUAAUACGUAGGUGGCAAGCGUUGUCCGGAUUUAUUGGGCGUAAAGGGAGCGCAGGUGGUUUCUUAAGUCUGAUGUGAAAGCCCACGGCUUAACCGUGGAGGGUCAUUGGAAACUGGGAAACUUGAGUACAGAAGAGGAAUGUGGAACUCCAUGUGUAGCGGUGGAAUGCGUAGAUAUAUGGAAGAACACCAGUGGCGAAGGCGACAUUCUGGUCUGUUACUGACACUGAGGCUCGAAAGCGUGGGGAGCAAACAGGAUUAGAUACCCUGGUAGUCCACGCCGUAAACGAUGAGUGCUAGGUGUUGGAGGGUUUCCGCCCUUCAGUGCCGCAGUUAACGCAUUAAGCACUCCGCCUGGGGAGUA